Molecule: long non-coding RNA, 2173 nt
Organism: Orbicella faveolata
Lineage: Eukaryota; Metazoa; Cnidaria; Anthozoa; Scleractinia; Merulinidae
Source: RefSeq, a predicted model, not a curated record
UAAAAUUAGAUUAUUCUGGUGCUGCCGUCAUUAAGGUAUUAGCAUAAUUUGCGCGCAUGGUCGGUUUAUCACUCGCCGAUUAAAGCACGUUGUUCUGAGCAAGAGUGAGGGCGGUUUCAACUUAAAGAUUACAAUUACACUUACGAAUCAAACCCCAAAUGUCCCAGCCGAGGGAUCCUACGAAUAAUUUCGUUGAGUUGGUUCAAGUAUGGGGAGGUUUCCUCAACGAAUAUCUGGAAGGAGUCGUAAUGUACGAUUCGAGAAACGGGAGGUUUACGGCUCAAGUAGGGUACAUUAUUGAAGAAGGAACACUGAAUGGCAACGAGGCUUUUAAAAUCAUCUCGACUAGACGAGAAAUAAAAACGAUUGAACGACAAUCAGGACGAGACCAAAGCAAGUAUACAAUUGCAGAUGGAGGCAGCAAGGUCACCGCGUCAAGAACUAAAUUCCCAGCUAGUUAAAACCAAGGUAAGAGACUUCUACCUUGUUGUCAAUAAACGCAACAGGCUAAUCGAUCCAACAAAUGACAAAUUUCUAAGACGCAAAGUACUACUGAAUUUAUUGUAAGCAACACAAACACGAUGGAACACUGCGAAGAUCAGUCCUUAACAUCACGCUUACACAAGCCAGCUACGGUUACAUCUACUGACAAAUCACAGCAUUCUGACAUUCUCGAGUGCCUUUAAAUCGUUCGCUAGCUCAACGCUAGUUGCCGUUUUACAUUCAGUUACGAAAAUCUAGAUAUAGAUUGAAACAAAAUUCACUUUCUCAACAGCUUAGUGACGACUUAUGCAAGAAUCAGCGAUUACAGAUGCCUCAUAACAAAAUGAAUAGUAGUUAUAUGUAAAAACAUUGCUGAUCUAGAUAAUAAACUGAAACUGUUAAAUUCAAAUGUAGACCAUUUGCCUAUACUUCGCGCGAACACAGUUAAACUUUUACAAUACUUGCACUGUGGUAGAAACGAGUAGGAACUGAAAAUAUAAUCAAACUACCCGACGAAUAGUAAAUCAGAAAUGCGCUCCCAACACGAGCAUUAUACAGAAGAGUGAAAACAUCUCGUUUAAUUAAAUGCCAUGUCAUGUCUCGAAAUGCUAAGAGCCGCACGCGCGCGAUACCGGAGAUCCAAAUUUGUUCUCUCCCUACCUUCACUCCUCCCCUUCCUAAGCGACUGAUUAAUUAGCAUUCUUUGUUGUUGAGUCAGAUACCUUACGCUAGGAACAAGCCUCAUGGAAUUAAGUUUUUAUAACAAGCCAUUUUGCUCUUCAAUGUUGGGAGAUCUGUACUAAAACACAUUUUGCUAUUUACUUGAAAGAGUACAUUCUGUAAACCUAUCAAACCAUAGAGCCGCCUUAAAACUGUCUAAACGAAAAUUUUGAUUCUAAACUGCGACUGAUUUCACAAUGAAAUAAACGAAGCGCACACAUCACGCAACAUUGAGAUCUGUCCACAAAGACUGGCUAAAAAAGAUUCCAGAGUAAAACGAGGCGCUUACGAAAAUUUUUGUCGUUUUAUCCUGCUACACACAGCCAAAACUAAUAAUUUUUAACAAUCGAGUUAGCCAUUCUAUUUGUCAUCGAAACUGAUUGUAAAGGUACAUCACAGAAAUGCUACGAAAUGUUAACUGAACGAAACGAGGCAGUCUAAAUUCGGACAAAAACUAUCAUGAGAACUUAACACUUAAAUCAGAAGAGAGAGUGAAUCAGAAUUUCACGAUCUACGUACUACCUUCCGUCUCAAUUACAACAACAGGCCUAGUCGAAAACAAUUAGAUGGAACAAGACCGAGCUUAGAGCGCAGAUUAUUAAGCCUUAUAUCAUUUUAGAAACAAAUAAGAGGGAACGUACCUUCAAUUGCGUUCAUCUCCUCCAAAGCUCUUCUCUACUCAAACUGUAUGUCCCAAACACAAUAUUUACGAACAUUAAAAUCUCUCUAAAACAUUUUUUUCCUACUGCGCAAUAAACAUCGCAGAACGACUGGAACUUUCCUUGCCUCUUAAAUAGCCACAGAAAAUUUAAAGUGUGACGUUUAUACUUUUAUGAGAAGCUAUUGGUCGCGUACUUUUAUUUUGUUGGGACGCGCAUUCCCCAAAGCACCUAGGGCGAAACGUCUUUGGAGGAGGACAGGCCAUAAUUUGACAGCUUGUCAAUCAACGUCGUCAUUCACGAGCAAUGAC